This is a long non-coding RNA of Haliotis rufescens (red abalone), 1446 nucleotides long. RefSeq lists it as uncharacterized. Lineage: Eukaryota; Metazoa; Mollusca; Gastropoda; Lepetellida; Haliotidae. The transcript has 2 exons. The record is from RefSeq and is a predicted model, not a curated record.
CGACGCCAUUGUUGUUCAGCAUCACUGUUGCGAACUUCAAGUCUGCUAACAUUUUGAGAUUUGAUUCACUCUUGUCACUAACUUUGCACCAUGUUCACGAGCGUGGCAAGCGUUUACCACCAAGCUCUCAACUGCUGAAGAUGAUUCCCUGCCCAUAACCCAGGCCCCUCUCCCCAACCCUGCCCUUUCGUCACUGUGUGGUUCCUCUAUGAACUUGGAGCAGGACAUCCCCGAGAUAGACUUGGGAGAUCCAACAGAACCAUUUGCAGUACAGCACGUAAAGCCAGUGAAGCAUGUAAAGCCAGAUACAUAUGCCGUCAUUGACAUGAGCCACCUGGAAGAAAUAACGCCACCACAGUCAUUUGUGACAGCAUGCUGCAGCUCCAGUGUAUUCAGCUUCAUCAAGAGAUUGUUCACUCUGUACUAAAUGGACAUUUCAUGUGGCUCAACACAAGUUGAACAUUUGCAAUAUAAUGAAAAUGUAAAGAACACUAUAUGCCUAUUUUGACUAUUUAGAUUUUUUGGCCUUUUGAUUGAAGCAAAGUGAAAUUAUCUAAUAUCAGUAAAUAUGUCCAUGAAUCUGACUUUUUGUUCAAAGUUUUGUUAUUAUAUUCAUAAAAGUUUUUUUCUGUUCUAGUGUGUGUGAUUCAAUUCUUAUUUGCAAGUUACUGGGGAUAUACAAAUGGGAUGGGGAAAAAAAGAUUAUAUGAUCAUUACAAUACAGUAUAAUGUAUAUUCUUGCUGCCAAUACAAUAAAUGUAAUGAAGUAGGCUGCAUAGUGAUAUAAGCAAUGAUUGGACUACAACAGAAAAACUACCUUAUGUGUUCUCAUAAUUUAUCAACUGAAUGCUUAAUAUAACAUUUUUAAUUACAUUAUGUUGCAAGAGGCUAUAUGACUGCCCUAAGGCAGGUAAAAAUUCAUGUUAAGUCAGGUCCAGAACUGAUUAUUGAUAGGCAGCUGUGUUAUAGCCAAAUAUUGCUGACUGGAGCAUUAAACAACACUAUUCUAACUCACUUAUUGUACCAACUCAACACUCAAAAAAUGACCAAGAUUGACUACUUGCAAAAAAAAGAAGCAGUCCCUUGCUGCCAUUGCAAGAAGUCCCCACAGUGGACAAUUCUGAUUGAAAGUUAUCGAUUCCAGUUGUGGGGAAAAUGCAUAUUGUAUGACGUGCGGCUUAAAAAAAAAGGCACAUACCUUUAGCUACCUAGGUAAGAAAGUUAUUUUGCUAGUGUUUUGGGGUGGUAUGCCCACUCCACAUGGGGCUUGCUGUUACAAACAUCUGGUGCAAACACCAGGUUGGUUCAGUAGUCGAACAGGCGAGGAUAAAUAUGAUUUCACGUUGUGUUACGGGUUACUGCACUUAUGUAACGAUAUGCAUUCAAGUGGCAUGUGCAAUUGUGUGUGUCUGGACUAAUGCUUGUUUUAUAAAUACUGAGAUACCA